Molecule: long non-coding RNA, 2741 nt
Organism: Alosa sapidissima (American shad)
Lineage: Eukaryota; Metazoa; Chordata; Actinopteri; Clupeiformes; Clupeidae
Exons: 3
Source: RefSeq, a predicted model, not a curated record
UUGCUGUGACUGAGAGCUUCAGAGUGCUUUGCUCGGCCGAUGAAGCAGGAGGCGUGGAGGGAGGUCUUUCGUUUGGACGUCUGUUUGACAUGAGAUGGGAUUGUAUCACUGUACAGAGUAACAUUUUCAGGUGGAUUUGGGAGUUUCCAACUUGAAUAACCUUUUGGGAGUUUACAACUUGAAUUAAGUUUUUUUCUGUCUGGAUAUUUUUGUGAUUCACUGUAGCCUAUGUGUCCGCUGACCAGUGAUAACACUGGUUUAGAAAUGCACGUGAGACUUGUCAUGGAGUGUAUCUUGUGGAAACGCAAAAAUGUUUUGUGCUGCCUGGAGAAAUGAGUUGUUGCUUCCAUGGAUCGGAGUGGGACCGGUACAUAUCAAGGAUUUGCGCAUGGGACGCUGGUGGAGAUCGGUGGAGAAGGAGCCGGGAGCCCUGCUCCGCGGUGUCUGGACGAUGGCUGGGACCUUAUGGUCAGCGUGCUUUUGGGAAUAGUCUGCGCGCACACUCAAACACACACACACACACAAACAAGUGCUAACGUGAAUCGUCCCAUCGGGAAAGCACUUUGGAGUACCGGCUACCUGUCCGAUGGAUUAUUGUGACAUGGAAACUAGAAUAUAUCAGUCUUUGGAUAAAUGGAAACAAAGACAGCCUGUCCUGGAUUUCACACCCCACUCCAUGACUGCACAGAGGUGUUUGUGGGACCCUGCAGAGAUGAUCCCUGGGACCUCCCAAAGUGUGUCCGGCACCUGGAGUGUGUGAGUGUGUGAGUGUGUGUGUGUGUGUGUGUGUGUGUGUGAGUGAGAGUGUGUGUGUGUGUGUGUGUGUGUGUGUGUGUGUGUGUGUGUGUGUGUGUGUGUGUCCGUGACGGGUGGCCCACUUCUGUGAGCCAUAACUUUGGCUUACUGAAGCGUCCCCAUACUGGAAGCGUGUGUGUGUGUGUCCAUCCCGGCGCUCACCAUGCCUGACCUCUCACUGGGGUUUACGCACGCUGUGCCUACAAGAGGCUGGAUUCUCCAAGCCGCUUCUCCUCGGAAAUGGACUGUGGAUAAUUUCAAACAAGAGUGUUUUUUGGAAGCGGAGCAGGAUCCUCUCUGGAAUGUUUUUGGAUCAUUUCUCUUUCUUUUUUUUGGACAUUUGAACUUUCCCAGGUCUGUGGAUGUGAAAGCUUUGACGUACACAUGUGUAUAUGCACAUGUCGAACAGUAUGUGUGUGUGUCUAAGUGUACGUGUGUGUGUACGUGUGUGUGUGUGUCUGUGUGUGUGUGUGUGUGUGUUAACUCGAGUGUUUAAAUCUUGGUACCUCUCUCAACUUCAAAGACCACAUCUCUAGCUCAAUGAUAUGGCUGUGUGAUUCAGUGGGUCUUAAAUGGACGAUGAUACACCAGUUCCCUCCAUUUUACCCGCAAACCUCAAAUCAAACUCCUCAGUUUGUGGUUUUGGGUUUUGUCUCCACAACUAAGUGCAAUGGAAGCUUGUUUUGAUAUGUUCCACUGUCAGCCUCCAUUAAUGUUAUUGUCUGUGUUGAUGCCCAUGAAUAUUUGCCAAUAAAACAUGCAGUGUGUUUUGGCAUGGUGUGUCCCUGUGUCAGGUAGUGUCUUGUCAGUUGAUCUGUUUGGUAUUUGAACACCUGAGAAACUAAAGAAUGUCCUUUUUAUUCUGUUUCUCUUUUCUUCUCUUCUCUCUUUCUCUCUCUCUCUCUCUGUGUCUCUCUCUCCUUCUCUCUUGCUUUACUGAGCACACAUUCUCUGCUGCGGUGAGUAAACAUCUCUUAAUUAGGACUGUCAGUUCUUUAUACCUUCUGCCUGAUUUACUGCAAUCGAUAAAUCAUAAGUCAUGUUGUGUCUACCUGCGGGUGGCUUCAGGGCAGAACAGCACCUGUAUUUGUGUGUGUGUGUGUCUGUGUGUGUGUGUGUGUGUGUGUGUGUGUGUGUGUGUGUUGUGUAUAGUAGAGCGACCGGUCUGUCCAUGGUAUAUCCUGUUUAUGUUCUGUCAUCGCUCUUCUUCACUGGCCUGAUUUGGAGGUGAUGUGAGCAUCCUGAUAAGGUGCUGAUGGAUUAGUACUAGGCUAAACAAUGCCCAUGUGCCAAACCACACACACUCACACACCCGAUCACACACACCUGGGCACAUUGGGAUGAUGCCACAGGUGUGGGUGAGUUGGCUGCUUUUGAAAUACGAGCUCCUUCCUGAUCGGCAGACGAUAAUGCUGAGUAAUGAUGAUCUGGCAUCACCCAAUAUCAGGGCCUUCAGCUCUCAUUGUCAAUGAGACCCAGUGAUCAUCUCUCCACUCAUCAUCGCAUGGUUUCCUCCUAUGAUCGCAUGAUUUCCCCCAAACCAAUAAGGGUCACAUGAUCAAUGUCCUAGUGCACCCCAAGGGCCACAGAUAACUAGGAAUCAGUUCUGUUUAUCUGUCUGUCGACAGGGCGAUGAUUUAGACUCGUUGUGGAGUUAUUUAUAAGUCACUAAUCAGGUCUGGUGGGGCUCAUGACCUGAUGUGUUGUUCCAACAAAUCAGCUGGAAUUUUUUCUCUGAUGACAGUAUCUGUCUGAAAUCUAGUCUACCUUUGCAAUCUUUGAGUCCUUGAGACGUAGACGUAUUGGUUCGAUACAAUACUCGUUGUUGUAUGAACAAAUUGUUUUCCAUGUUUGUCAAGGGUAAAGUUAAUGGGUUAAAGUUUGAUGACUGAUCAGGUGUAGGAGACAUGUACAUAUUUGUGACCUUGUGUGGGUUAGUGAGAAAA